RNAcentral lists this ribosomal RNA (403 nucleotides) under Verrucomicrobiota bacterium. RNAcentral describes it as "Verrucomicrobia bacterium partial 16S ribosomal RNA". It matches the Rfam family "Bacterial small subunit ribosomal RNA", at positions 355 to 776 of the family's 1533-position model. The record is from RNAcentral. Lineage: Bacteria; Pseudomonadati; Verrucomicrobiota.
UGGGGAAUAUUGCACAAUGGGGGAAACCCUGAUGCAGCGACGCCGCGUGAGCGAAGAAGGUUUUCGAAUCGUAAAGCUCUGUCCUAUGAGAAGAUAAUGACGGUAUCAUAGGAGGAAGCACCGGCUAAAUACGUGCCAGCAGCCGCGGUAAUACGUACGGGGCGAGCGUUGUCCGGAUUUAUUGGGCGUAAAGGGUACGUAGGCGGCCUAUUAAGUCAGGUGUGCAAGCGUUCGGCUUAACCUCAUUAAGCACUUGAAACUGAUAGACUUGAGUGAAUGAGAGUAAAGUGGAAUUCCUAGUGUAGCGGUGAAAUGCCUAGAUAUUAGGAAAAAUACCGGUAACGGAGGCGACUUUCUGGACUUUUACUGUCGCUAAGGUACGAAAGCGUGGAGAGCAAACAGG